Long non-coding RNA from Drosophila willistoni, 481 nucleotides. RefSeq lists it as uncharacterized. The record is from RefSeq and is a predicted model, not a curated record. The transcript is spliced from 2 exons. NCBI's taxonomy places the organism in Eukaryota, Metazoa, Arthropoda, Insecta, Diptera, Drosophilidae.
UUCUCAAAAUACGGAAGAGGAAGGCUAUAUGAACUUGACUCGUAGGAGAUGCUUCCCUCCAUGCGUUGAACACUUCUGACCAAGAACAAUACACCCUUUUUGCAAGAAAAAAAAGUGACGUCCUGCAACCCGAGUAAUUAGUGUAUACCAAAACCAAUUUAUUUACCGAUAAGCUAAAUCGGUUAAGAGACAUCUAAUCCAGAACUUUCUUUUUAACAAAAGAACAAAUUUCAUUCGAAACGUUUCAAUUACUUCCUUGUUCUAAAUUCAAUAUAAAAGACCUUGUCUUUUCUUUGAUUUUUACAUUGAAGUAUCAAUAUGAAUUUUCUUCUAUCUGGACUAGCUUUUGUACUGAUCGCCGGCAUGGCAAAUGCUGAAUGGACCCAACCUGUUUGUUGCACACGACCUAUUCCGUGCCCCUACGUUGAAAUUUGUGUGCGUCCACGUGGCGAAUAAAUGGAUUCUAGAAUAAUGAUGUAAA